This 253-nucleotide ribosomal RNA is filed under the name uncultured bacterium. RNAcentral describes it as "partial 16S ribosomal RNA". It matches the Rfam family "Bacterial small subunit ribosomal RNA", at positions 524 to 776 of the family's 1533-position model. The record is from RNAcentral.
UACGAAGGGUGCUAGCGUUGUUCGGAAUCAUUGGGCGUAAAGCGAGUGUAGGCUGCUUAUUAAGUCGGGUGUGAAAUCCCUCGGCUCAACCGAGGAAGUGCAUCCGAAACUGGUAAGCUAGAAGACGGUAGAGGAAGGUGGAAUUCCAAGUGUAGAGGUGAAAUUCGUAGAUAUUUGGAGGAAUACCUGUGGCGAAGGCGGCCUUCUGGGCCGUUCUUGACGCUGAGACUCGAAAGCGUGGGUAGCAAACAGG